Molecule: long non-coding RNA, 625 nt
Filed under: Mus spicilegus (steppe mouse)
Lineage: Eukaryota; Metazoa; Chordata; Mammalia; Rodentia; Muridae
Description: lncRNA (ENSMSIG00000003772.1)
Source: RNAcentral
CCUAUAGAAUUCCGUCCGACUCUAUGACUUAAUGGUUGGAGAGAGACUACUCAUUUUCCCAGUCACUUGGUAUUUGUCACUAUUUUCUGAAGCUGAGCGGUCUGAGUUCAACAUGAGGCAGGACCUGCUGCUGUGACAAUGGAGGGCUGGAGUGAGGGCAUGUUGGUGAAUCCCCUGCCAACCCUGAAGCUCUGUGCCACCUCUGAGCACUCAGCACCAUUCCUGUGAGCCAGUGACAGGAAGAAACAGCUAGGGCUCACUGUCACGACCAGACUGCAGAUGAAAAACAGAAAGUAUGCAAACAAGACUGCCAGCUUCUCCCCAGAUAGGCCUAGCAAAAAGCCAUGGAUACUGACAGAGUUUUGGUAAUCACUGUGAAAUAUUGGAACAUAUUUGGAUGGCCAGAAAAAGGAGGAUCCCUGGUUUUUUCAGAUAUGUGAAAAAAAAUCUAUUACAGUUCCAAAUGUUUUUCCUUCGUUUUUCUAAAUUACUUAUUGCUAUGCUCAAAAUAAAAAAUAAAGUCAGAAUGCCUAAUUGCAGUCUUAUAAAUUUAACAUGCAAUUCAAAUAUCUGAGGAGUGUUUUGUGUAGUUAAAUGAAGCUGACAUUUCCACUAAAUAGCCAGU